UACGUAGGCAGCGAGCGUUGUUCGGAUUUACUGGGCGUAAAGGGUGUGUAGGCGGUUUGGUAAGUCUGGUGUGAAAUCUCCCGGCUCAACUGGGAGGGUGCGCCGGAAACUGCCGGACUAGAGUGCGGGAGAGGAGAGUGGAAUUCCUGGUGUAGCGGUGAAAUGCGUAGAUAUCAGGAGGAACACCGGUGGUGUAGACGGCUCUCUGGACCGUAACUGACGCUGAGACACGAAAGCGUGGGUAGCAAACAGG
Molecule: ribosomal RNA, 253 nt
Filed under: uncultured bacterium
Lineage: Bacteria
Description: partial 16S ribosomal RNA
Rfam family: Bacterial small subunit ribosomal RNA
Source: RNAcentral